AUCUUCUCACGAAGAAGAAGAUCAAGAACAACCUACAGAACCCACAGCUUUGCCCUCAAAACCCAGUUCUUCCUCUUCCUCUCUGUUUUCUUCUCUACCCAAAUCCAAACCCCAAUUUCGUCUCUUUUCGAAUCCCUUUUGCAACCUAAACAAACCCAAACAAAACCAUCUUUUCUGAAUAUGACAGCAUGUGUUGGCAUUAGGUGGCCACUGUUUGAGCAUUUUGGUCCAAUUUUGGGGGGUUUUGAAGUCUGGGUUUACAUGCCCUUUUCAAGAACAGCUUCUCCAGAAAAUGAAUUGUUGGGAAUAUGUAAGUUUUGAUGUUAAAUUGAACUAACUACGCAUCUUCUCACGAAGAAGAAGAUCAAGAACAACCUACAAAACCCAUAGCUUUGCCCUCAAAACCUAGUUCUUCCUCUUCCUCUUUGUUUUCUUUUCUACCCAAAUCCAAACCCCAAUUUCGUCUCUCUUCAAAUCCCUUUUGCAACCUAAACAAACCCAAACAAAACCAUCUUUUCUGAAUAGGACAGCAUGUGUUGGCAUUAGGUGGCCAUUAUUUGAGCAUUUUGGUCAAUUUUUGGGAGUUUUGAAGUCUAGGUUUACAUGCCCUCUUCAAGAACAGCAAUCGUAUUGUGAUUUUAUUGCGGUUGUAUUGUAGUCGUAUUGCUUUUGUAUUGCUAUGGUG
This 685-nucleotide long non-coding RNA is filed under the name Prunus persica (peach). RNAcentral's name for it is "long non-coding RNA (PPER_LNC000009)". Lineage: Eukaryota; Viridiplantae; Streptophyta; Magnoliopsida; Rosales; Rosaceae. The record is from RNAcentral.